GACGAACGCUGGCGGCGUGCUUAACACAUGCAAGUCGAACGAAGAGCGAUGGAAGCUUGCUUCUAUCAAUCUUAGUGGCGAACGGGUGAGUAACGCGUAAUCAACCUGCCCUUCAGAGGGGGACAACAGUUGGAAACGACUGCUAAUACCGCAUACGAUCUGACCUCGGCAUCGAGGAUAGAUGAAAGGUGGCCUCUACAUGUAAGCUAUCACUGAAGGAGGGGAUUGCGUCUGAUUAGCUAGUUGGAGGGGUAACGGCCCACCAAGGCGAUGAUCAGUAGCCGGUCUGAGAGGAUGAACGGCCACAUUGGGACUGAGACACGGCCCAGACUUCUACGGGAGGCAGCAGUGGGGAAUCUUCCGCAAUGGACGAAAGUCUGACGGAGCAACGCCGCGUGAGUGAUGACGGCCUUCGGGUUGUAAAGCUCUGUUAAUCGGGACGAAAGGCCUUUUUGCGAAUAGUGAGAAGGAUUGACGGUACCGGAAUAGAAAGCCACGGCUAACUACGUG
This 510-nucleotide ribosomal RNA is filed under the name uncultured bacterium. Its description in RNAcentral is "partial 16S ribosomal RNA". It matches the Rfam family "Bacterial small subunit ribosomal RNA", at positions 28 to 507 of the family's 1533-position model. The record is from RNAcentral.